RNAcentral lists this long non-coding RNA (2310 nucleotides) under Sus scrofa (pig). Its description in RNAcentral is "lncRNA (ENSSSCG00065054460.1)". The record is from RNAcentral. Lineage: Eukaryota; Metazoa; Chordata; Mammalia; Artiodactyla; Suidae.
UUCCGAGAAGAAACGCUUUGAUCCGCUCACUUCCUCUUUCAACAAGCGUCCACUGAAUGGUCCCUGGGAACAAGCACUUAGAUCUUUCUCAGCAAAGGCGGGCAGUGCUUUGACCCUGGGGGUCAGUCUGGCCGCAGUGUGUUCUAGAACUGUGAACACCUCAGCAGGUAAGACCUCUGCUCAGUGGAGCCCAGACGCACAGUGCUGAGAGCCGGCGCGCACGGUGUCGCCAAAGCACCCCCACCUUCACUUUUCAGACGCGAGAGGCGCCUGCCCGCAGCCGCGGGACUGGAGUGGCAGCUGGGAUCCAACCACGGGGAGGAGGCAAUGCCCAGGCGACAGGAAGAUUAAUUGUUGAGAGCACCCACUGAGGAAAGAGCGCCUCUGUGGUACUGAGCCGGGUGCCGUGGAGAAACUGGGUCCACUCGACACACUUCACACUCAUCCCUCAGCACUCAGCCUGCAGCCAGGGCCCUUGGGGAUCUCUGGGGAGCGUCCUGCGUGGGGCAGGCUCCCUGACUGCCAGGUGCUGCGCGGGGCUGGCAGCCUGGCCCGGAGACCCUCACCAGCAGGGGCGGAGCUCACGGUGUUGCACUUUGCCGAUACUGCAUUUUUAAAAAACUGCAGCUUUGUGGCAACUCUGCUGAGCGUCUAUUGGCACCAUUUCCCCAAAAGCAUCUGCUCACUUUGGGUCACAUUUUGGUCAAUCUCACAUGUCAAACUUUUCCAUUACUGUCACUUGUUACGGUGAGGUGUGACCGGGGCUUUGAGGGGGGUGUGGUUAACUGCUUUGGACACCACAAGCUGUGUGCAUGUGAGACCGUGACCUUGUGGCCAGGUGCGCUCUGACCGCCCCCGUGACUGGCCACGAGCCCCCCCUCCCGUCCUCGGGCCUCCCUCUUCCCUGAGACGCGAUGUGGAAAUGAGGCCAAUCCACAAGCCUGCAGUGGCCUCGCCAGGCUCCCAGGGAAGGGAGAGUCGCGUGUCUCUCACUUUCCAUCAAAAACCAGACGAGACCGAGCUUCGUGCAGAAGCGGAGACAGAAGUCCGUCGUGCCAAACGGGCAUCUGAGUCGUGAGAGGAAGGCGGCCUUCUCGAAGGGAGUGGAAGCACGGAUCCAGGGAGCACCCAAGGGAGGAGAGCGCCAAACAGCCUCCCUGCUGCCGUGGAGAAGGCUGCGCUGCUCCGGACAGAAGAUGAGAGCAGCCACACGCCCCUAAGCCGAGGCCUCGACCGGAGCAGGGCCCGCACUCUCUCCGAUUCUGCAGAGGCUGCCGCAGGCGAGGGAGCUGCAGGAGGAAAUGAGCAGACACCCACCCGCAGAGGCCAGGUCACGAGGCCGAAGCACAGAGGCCGCCUCCACAGCUCCGAAGCGCGCGGCGAGGGGCACGAGCCGAGGGAGAAGCUGCAGCUCGGAUCAUCCAGGAAGGUGGCCACGCGGACAGAUGUCCAGGGGCCACCAGACAGCCUCCUGGUGUCAGGAGAUGCCAGCUAGGACUUCGAGGGCUGGAGGGGGACGUCCGCGCCGGGCGUCAAAGCUUCGGAGGCCAGGCCGACUCUGCUGGGGGCUCAUGCGGCUGGUGACUUUCAGGUGAAGCCAGGGCUCGUUGGCGAUUUCAUGUGUCCCAGUGUCCUUCAGGAGGACGCUAAAGCCACUCGGCCUGUGCUCUGGACGUGGAACAAAGCCUGGAUGACGGCAUGUCUGCUGACAACACGUUUUACUGAGUGNUUUUUUUUUUUUUUUUUUUUUUUUUUGCUUUUUUGCACCUGUGACAUAUGGAGGUUGCCAGGCUAGGGGUAGAGNCCAGGGCUCGGGUUGCACAGCCAGAGCAACUCAGGGUCUGAGCCCCAUCUGUGACCUACGCCACGGCUCAGGGCAACGCCAGAUCCCUGACCCACUAAGUGAGGCCACGGAUGAAACCCGCAACCUCAUGGAUACUGGCUAGAUUCGUUUCUGCUGCACCACAAUGAGAACUCCCCCACUGAAUACUUUAACCCCACUGUUGAGACCUGAAAGUCAGAAAAAAGAUUCUUUUCAAAUUAUUACUGUUCGCCUGGUCCCCCAAGAGCUCUGAUGGAGACGCGCGCUGGGGUUAGACUUCUUUAGCGUCUGCUAACACAGCAGCCACGCUGCAGCCUGUGGGUCGAGGAGUCACUCUGCCUUUGAAGUCUUGCUAUUUACGAAACACAUUUCGGAGUUCCUGUCAUGGCUCAGUGGUGAUCGAAUCCGACCAGGAACCAAGAGGUUGCGGGUUUGAUCCCUGGCCUCACUCAGUGGGUUAAGGAUCCGGCGUUGCUGUGAGCUGUGGG